UACGAAGGUGGCAAGCGUUGUUCGGAUUUACUGGGCGUACAGGGAGCGUAGGCGGUUGGAUAAGCCCUCCGUGAAAUCUCCAGGCUUAACCUGGAAAGUGCAGAGGGGACUGUUCAGCUAGAGGAUGGGAGAGGAGCGCGGAAUUCCCGGUGUAGCGGUGAAAUGCGCAGAUAUCGGGAGGAACACCAAUGGCGAAGGCAGCUCGCUGGGACGUUACUGACGCUGAGACGCGAAAGCGUGGGGAGCAAACAGG
This 253-nucleotide ribosomal RNA is filed under the name uncultured bacterium. Its description in RNAcentral is "partial 16S ribosomal RNA". It matches the Rfam family "Bacterial small subunit ribosomal RNA", at positions 524 to 776 of the family's 1533-position model. The record is from RNAcentral.